This 15134-nucleotide long non-coding RNA is filed under the name Cucumis sativus (cucumber). RNAcentral's name for it is "long non-coding RNA (CSAT_LNC001662)". The record is from RNAcentral. Lineage: Eukaryota; Viridiplantae; Streptophyta; Magnoliopsida; Cucurbitales; Cucurbitaceae.
UAUUUAAAAGUAUAACCUUUUGAUCAUCGUCAUUUUUGGAAUGUAUAGGAGCAAUCAAAUAUGUGUAAGGCUGUCAGACCAUAGAAGUGGCACAAAGUCGUUUCUUCAGAGACAAGUAGAGCUCACUGAAAUGCACGAUCGUCUUGUAGAUCGUGUCGAGUUAUUCAAAGAAACUCACACCAGUAGUAGUGGCGAGCUCAUUUCACCAGCUGCAGAGGAUGCUUUCGUAAGUUUUAGAAAACUUUAUAUUGGUUAUACUUUAAUUAUUCUAUGUUUUUAAGUAUAAUAAUCUCUCAAACUUACAAGCUUUUGUUGUGCAGAAUCAGAUGGUGGAUCUUCAGUCUCAGCCCGUCUCAGAGGGUUCUGAACCACUAACUCAGGACGAGAUAUGCGAGACAGUUUUGGGUAGACGACUGGGCUACUCAAAAGGUCUUGGUUGGGGCCCAAAACCCAGGUCUAGGACUGCCGCUUCAUCUUCUUCCUCCAGUAUGUAGGACUACCAGACACACAUAGCAGAGAUUAGCGACCUCAAAUCGAGACUUGACAACACUAACCGAAUGCUCCAAGAACAACACUUGAGGGAGGAGGAGCGAGAUCGACAAAUUGCGGACCAAGCACGAAAAAUGGAAGAGAUGAAGAAGAUGCUCGAGGAGAUGAGUUGUGCACAGAGAGGCUCGUGAUCACUUGGGUACACACUUUUCACUAUUUAAUUUGCUUAAUUUCCAUAUGUGAUAUUCUAACAAUACUUUUAUGUUAUUUGUAGGUUUGGUGUCCACUGCACGAGAGCAUUAGAUCUUAAGUUUUUGUUUUAUGUAAUGUUUUGAAUUAUGUAAUUAAUUUCUCGUAUCGAACAUAUUUAAUUUAUCAUUUGAUUUCGUAAUGAAUAAUACUUUUAUUUCUAUCAAUUUACUACAGAUUUUAUUACAUCGAGUAAAUCAAACAAUAUAUAAUAAUAAUAAUAAAAUAAAAAAAUAAAAAACCUUUUGCGACGUAGACAUCGCGGAAGGCUUAUGUGACGCCAGCGUCGUAAAAGCUUUCUGCAACGUCUACAUCGCAAAAGUCUACUGUGACGUCUGCGUCGCAUAAGCCUUCCAUGAUGUCUGCGCCGCCAAAGCCUUCCGCGACAUCUGCGUCACAAGAACCUUUUGCGACAUCGGCGCCGCAAAAGCUGUCCUCGACGUAUUGGGACCGCGCGCGGAGGAAAUAUUUUAUUGCGUGGCAGCAAGCGGCGUCAUAGUAGCUUUUCGCGAUGUUGUUUGCAUUUUCGACGACGUUCAUGUGCGUCAGGGAAGAGCGGUAGUGAAUGAUCGUGUAGGAAACAAUAGUCAAAUCUAAAUGAUCAUUUUUCACAUAUAUUACGUGCGUUGAAUGCCAAUUAAUGACAGGACAUUUGUUGUAUUUUUCAUUGUGAGCGUGUGAGUUUUUUCUGAUUUUGAAAUUGUUCUAGAUUGUAAGUAUAUUAGUUAGUGCUUUGUUAUAUUUUUUAAAAGAUCCUUAAAUUUAACCAUUAAUUAAUAAAAAAAAGUUAAAUACUUACACAAUUAUCAUAUAUCAAACUAAAUUAGUGUUUGACAAAAUAUCUAAACUGUAUCUAAGAAUAUUUGUUUGGUUACUUUUUAAAUAAGGGCAUUUUCCCUAUCAUUGUUUUUUAUUAAAAUAAAAAUCAGAGUUGAACUAGUGUAUCAACUUUUCAAUAAAAUGCUAUAAAAAUGAUUAAGUGAUUGAAUAUUAUGAGUUUAAAAAGUGAUUUUGAGCUUUUAUAAGCCAUACGGUUCGUUUGGAUUAAAAUACGUGCAAAAACGCAUCUUUGAUGCGCUUUUAAAAUUUGAAGCUUUCUGCAAAAUUACAAAAAAUGCUACUGAACUUGUUUUAGCUCCGAUUUGAGCGAUAUUUGUUAUGUUGGACGGGUCGCGAAAUCCAAAUUAUUGUUAUCUAUAAAAUGGUAAAUUUAGUAAAUAUAUGGAGUAAUAAAAGGAGAGUUAGAUACUAAAAAUCACAACCAAAGAACUAACACAAAUGAAUAAUCAUAAAUAGUACAUGCUAUAAUUAUUUUGAGGAUUACAGACCCAAUGGGUUGAGUUCAAAUCUUGACAAAGUUGAGAAUGACCAUCAAAGCCAUAUGAGGAUUUGAACUCGAGAAUACAGUCAAGUCAUGAGUCUAACAAUGAUAUUUUUAGCACUGCACACCAUUACGUUUUGGACUAGGAGAAGACCAUGUGAUAGGUCCUUUUGGCAUGCAACUUUGAAGGGUUGAAUGAGUCAUUGUCGACGUUUGUUCCUGGUUUUCCUUGGGCAUUUUAAGGGUUGAAUGAGUCAUUGUCGACGUUGUGGUCGCAACAAGGUAUCGAGAUGAUUGUUGAGUGAAUGGUAAUGCAUUAUUAGUCAAUGUUGUGGGUGGUAAAGGGAGAAGGUUUCUUGAAGUUGCCAUGAUGAGGAUAGUAGAAGAUGACAUGAUGAAGAGGAACAAGUAUAUGAAAAGGAAAGGAAAACACCUUAAAGCCAUUGAAAUAUAUAGGAAUAACAAAUCAAACUAUUCAAAACAAUGAAGAUAAAUAAUUUGUAUGAAUUGUGAUGUCGAGACAUUAGGUUUUAAAUAGGAUUGUAUGUAGAGAAGAGAACAAGUCCAUUAUACAAAUUUGGAGAAGGCCGUUGUUCCUUUGGUAUUAUUGUUUUCUACUUCCUAUAUUUGUUCAUUUCACAACCUCAUUUUUCCUAUGUUUGAAAUUAUGAAGAACUUCCUCAACGCCAUUCUAUAUUUGGUAUAUAUGAUAAAAUACUCAAAUACAUUAAUAAAUGGAUCGAUUGGAUAAAUGCAGGUCGUUUUGAAAACAAACUAAUAAAAACAAAAGGCUGUUUUCAAAAUAGGUAUAUAGAGUUUUUUUUUAAAACAUAAUUUCAAAGGUUAAUUUUCAUAAAUAUAACAAAACACCAAAAUAUUUACGACUAUAAAAGUUCUUGAAAAAAAAUCGUUGGGAUAUUCAUACAAAUUUGGUAGCUAAAUUUAAACAAUUGUGUGUAUCAAAAAUCUUGAAAAAAAUUUGUUUAGAUUUGGAUAGACAAAUCUAAACAAUCAUGUAGCCAAAUUUAAACGAUCAAGUAACCAAAUGUAAACGAUCGUGUUCCAAUAAAUUCUUAAAAAAAUAUAAUACCCAGAAACUUUUAAAAAAAUUGUUUAGAUUUGAGUACACUACGCAAGAGAACGAAAGUAUCCCGACAAACAAAAAAGCAUCUAGAUAGACAAAUUUGGGACACAAAGCUUUACACGAUGCAAUAAAACCUGUGUUGGCAGUGGUCCUUUAGACCAACGUGGUGUUGAAAAUGUCAGGACAGCAUACCACUUCCCUGAUGCAACGCACAAAGACGUCGGGGGAAACAUUUCAUUUUAAUAAUAAUUUCCAUUUUCUCUAACGCCAUGCAAGUACACGUUGGGGAUGCCCUAGCUAUGGUCAACAUGGAAGUGUGUGGUAUCAGGAAAGAUGGAAAUUAUUAUUAAAAUUUAUUGUAACCUCGACGUUUACGUUCAUGGUGUCAAUAACUGGUCAGGCUCUACCGAUGUUAGCGUUGACCACGUCGUGGAAAAUUGAACAUUUAAAUAAUUAUUUGAAAAUUUCCCCGACACAAUAAGUGAGAGGUCGGGCUUUGUCAGACUAUGGCCAAUGUAAAGGUUGACCACGUCGGAAGAAACUGUAACGUUUGAAUAAUUUUGAAAACUUUUCCCUUACGCCAUAAGUGAAGCGUUGAGAUUGAUCUCAAGUAAUUAUGACAUUUUCACUUAUGACAUUCGGAUUAGAGGGUUCUUGCGAUGUUUUCGAGCUACAUCAGAAGAACCCUUGUUAAUCACUGUUCUACAGAACAUAGAACACACAAAAGAGAAAAGAGAAAGAUGAAAGAGAAAAGAGAGAGAGAGUCAUUCACCAUUGUGUUCCGCCACCCACCGUCCUCCUUUCGUCGUUGUAUAAUUCCAUUGUAUCUACUAUCAAGUAAAGAUACACUUUUGUUUUUUGUUUUUUUGUUUUUUUGAUUUUUUUUUCUAAAUAAAUGUAUGAUUGAUAUAUUGUAGAUUGUAGAUUAUAUGUAUAGAUGGUAUAUUGUAGAAUGUAUAUUGUAAUUAUAUUGUAUGUAUAAAUUGUAUAUUGUAUGUGUGAUUGAUAUUGAAUAUGUUGCAUGAAUAAAUAAAUGUAUGGUUGAUAUUAGAAUGUAUGUGUAGAUUGUAUAUUGAAAUUGUUGGAAGUUUAUAAAUUAAAAUGUAUAUGAAUCGUUUAUGAAUUAAAUUGUAUGUAUAAAUGAAAUAUUGAAAUUUGUAAUACGUUGGGGUUUAAUUUAUUGAAAUUGUGAUUGUUAUGGAGUAAUUUAAUUUAUUGAAAUUGUGAUUGUUAUGAAGUAAUUUAAAUGUAUUGAAAUUAUUGAAUGAUGAAAUUGAAAAUUUUUAAAUUGUUGAAAUAGUUUAAAUACUUGAAAUUUUGUAUUCAGGUUGUGGCUAUCCUACAAUUAUAGUAGCGUGUAGUUUUUUAUUUGUGAUUAUGGUUUGUUUGUUAAAAUUAAGUGUUAGAUAGAAUUAUGGUAGGCUUAAGUAUUUUAUAAUUUGUUAAAAAUGUUAGGUUUCUUCUAAAGCUUGUUAGUUGGAAUUGUUAGGUAUCUUGUUUAGUUUAAAUUUAGAUGUAGUGAAAGUUGGGAUAUUGGAUACUUGUGAGGUGUAGUUUAUUGAUGGAGUAAGUUUGAGCAUUUGAUAAGAGGAAUAUAAGACUAAUGAAACAUUUUUAUAUUCUAGAACAUUAACGAUGGACAAAGGUUGGAUGAAACUUAAGUUCUUGGUUGAGUAUAGAGAUGGAGUGUCUCAAUUUUUAGAGGUUGAAACGUAUUAGGUCGAUGAGUACCCACGGACAAGGUGUCCAUGCAAGAAAUGUAUGAACUCAAAUUAGGACUCAUUAGAGAGUGUGGAGUGCAUUUAUUAACGAUUGAAAUAUCCCCCUCCUAUAUAAAUUGGAUGUAUCAUGGAGAGCCAGUGAAACUUGGAUAGAGGUAUAGAAAGAUUUGAUGAAGGAACUCCCUUCCAUGAAGGAACUAGCAGUGACCCUUUUUUUGAAGACAAUGAAAUGUUGGGUAUGCUUCAUGAUUUAAGAGCUCUGAUUGAACAUGAAGAAGAAAUAGAGGAAGGUUUAGAGAAUGACAUGUCGUUUAAUACUGGUGUAGAACAAGAGAUGGCGAACAUAUUUCAAGAGUUAUUAAACUAAGCACGUAGUGAGCUAUACCCCGGCUGUUCAAAGUUUUCAUUCCUGAACUUUUUGGUUAAGUUGAUGCAUGUAAAGAUUGUAAGCGGUUGGAGUAACAAGUCCUUCAACAUUUUUUAGAGAUAUUAAAACAUGUGUUUCCAAUGUAUACUACCACUAUCCCUAGUUCAUUCUACGAAGCCAAACAAAAAUUGCUUGUCUUGGGCCUAUGAUACGAGACUAUUUAUGCUUUUAAGUACAACUGUGUAUUGCACUGAAAGGAGUAUGGGGAUUUGCAACAUUGUCUUGUGGCUUGUGGUGUUAAUUCAUUACAAUUUCCAUCUUAGAAAUAUAUGAAAGUUUCCAACUUCUGCAUGUCAUUGCUAAUACCUGGUCCAAGAUCGAGGUAGGAAAAUUGAUGCUUAACUCCAACCAUUGAUUGAGGAACUGAAAGAGUUAUGGAGUUUUGAUAUGUGUAGUAUGGUUCUCUUAUCGGUCAGUUCUUUCAAUGUAUUUAGCUGGAUGAUUAAUGACUUUUCAGUGUAUGGUGACUUAUCUAGGUAGAUGGAAUACGAAAGGGUAUUAAGCAUGUCUUAUAUGCAUGAGAGAUAGAUAUCUGGGAUAAGAGGAAAAAUUGCUUUCAUGGGCAUCGACAUUAUCUUCCAGAUAACCAUGUUUGGCAUACACGUAAGCUACAUGAUGGAAGUGUAGAGCAUAGGCCUUCUCUUAAUAAGCAUGAUAUCUUUGAACAACUAGAUUUGCUGAAGUUUUUAGUGAUAAGUAAACAUCCAUAACUGAAAGAUAGAUAUUUGAAUUGGAUGAAAAGACGUAUCUUUUUUUAACUUCCUUACUGGCCAAGUUUACUAAUACAUCAUAUUUAUCAGGUUCAAGAGUUCAACAGAGUCGACAGGUAUCGUUCGAGGAGAGUGAUGUCAGUUCGCUUCACGUCGUCUUCUGGGGCUAAGCUACCAGGUACUUCAGGAGGGGGUGUGACAAAUAAGGUUGGGCACUUUAUUUUGGGAACAUUAUGGAUACGAUCUGCUUCGUAGUUAGUACAAAUGAUGUGAUCCUGAAUCGUUCAUGUAAAGACAUGGAAGUGCGGGCAUCCUAUGUAAAGAGUUUAUAUAAUAUUAGAGCCAUGAAAUGAUCAUUUUUAAGUUAUAGCACUGUUGACUUUAAUAAAAGUAACUAUUUCUUUUUAGGAUUUAGAUUUAGGGUUUAGGGUUUAGGGUUGAGUUUAGGGUUUAAGGUUUCAUGUGAACAUGAGUUCAUAGUUAGCUCAAGAUUAAAAUGAAGUUACACUGGAUAUUUAUAGGUGAGGGCAACUCAUUAGCGCUAGUCCAAUAAGUCUUCAGUUCAGGGGUAAAUCAAGUGGAUAGCUGAGAACAUAAAGUGCAAGAUGGUUGUUCCUUAAAUGGCAGAAUCUAAGUCUUGAACAAGGGGCCCCACCCUCUCAUUAGCUCGAGAGGGAUUCAGUUUACAAGUUUAACCUUAAACUAAUUGUUCAAUAGUGAAUUAGUGGGACUUAAGAAGCAAGGUGUAGUCCCGACGGUAAAACAAUACUUUGAUCCAAACCAUAAACAGUAAACUCAAACACUAAACCGACACAAGUUAAUCUCAAAUACUAAAAUAUCCACCUAUAUAAUAUAUAUAUAUAUAUAAAGUAGAGGAAUGAUAAGUUUUUAGUGCAUUUUUUAGGGUUUAAUUAGACUUCUGGUGUGUUUGGAUUACAUUUUGAAGUGUUUAAUUUAAAAAAUAAGUUACUUUAAAAAAACUAAAGUGUUUGAAAGCCACUAAAGAUAAAAUUUUAAAUGUAUUUUAAACAAUAUUUUUGGGAAAAGGAAAAAUAGUGUAAAUAAAAAUGAGUUUAUUGAAACACAUUUUUUUUUAAAAACAAAUCAAUCCGAACGAAUCCCAAUCCUAAAUAGUAAGGUGUUCUCGAUGGUAUCUUGUGAGGUUGCAAUUUCAAUUUAUGUCUAAUUGCUCCAAAUUAAUAUAUCUCUAUUACCGUCUUCUCUUUUCACCCAUUAAUGCUUAGUUUACACAGAACAAUCAUAUUUAUACAAUAUCUUUUCCUUUGAAAUAGGAAAUUCAAAUAAGACAAGAAGGACAUUAUAUUGGUGGAUUUCUAUUCAUCCAAAUUGAGCGGGUAAUAAGUGUCAAUUUUGGAUUGUUAGUUUUAUUCUAAAUAUUCUUACAAAGAAGUUUGCUCUAACAAAUCCCUUGUGUUUUUGUUGUUUAUAUAAAAGAAAAAAGUUAUUUUUGGUGCUAUGCCAAAUUUAGCCUUAAUUUUUAUUAAGAAACAAUCCCUAUAUAAAAAGGAGAAAUACACGAAGAGAAAACACACAACAAAAAUGGUGACAAUUAUUAGUUCUAAUAUGGCAUUGAGAACUUGUGCUCUCGUACUCCUUGGGGUGCACUUUGGAAUCUAUCAAACACAUGGUAGAAGUUUGUUUGAUGUCAAUGAAGACAACUCUCUUUUUCAAAGUAAAUUUAAGGCGCCCAUUAUAAUUCAUCCAAAACAACAUAUCCAUUUUUCACUUUCAAAACCCGAAGGAAUGCCUGAUUCAGAUACACAUUUCAGUUUUGGAAUAUUCUCAAAAGAUGUUCGUAUUCCUCCAUCUGGACCAAGUCAAAGAUCUUCAGACUCUCCGUCUCUCCCAUCCAUCGUCUUACAUAAAGAAUCUCGAAUUAACUUUGGAAUAUUACCAAAAGGUCGACGUAUUCCUCCAUCUGGGCCAAGUCAAAGAUUUUCAGACUCUCCACCUUCCCCAUUCAAUGUUUUACAUAAGGAAUCUAGACUUAACUUUGGGAUAUUACCAAAAGGUACGCGUAUUCCUCCAUCUGGGCCAAGUCAAAGAUUUUCAGACUAUCCACCUCCUCCACCACAUGUUCCUUUUGUUAUUUAAAAGAAAGAAACUAAAUUUGUUUGUGGUAUACAUAUUAAGCAUUUUUUUCAUUAUCACUUUCAAGGAGAAAGAUGUUGAAAAUGACUAUCAUUGUACUGAUUUAUAAUUAAUGUUUCAAUUAAAAAUUAAUAAUAAUAAUAAUAAUUUGGAUGGUUAUAAUGAUAUAUUCAAUACAUUUUAUAGUUUUAAAAUUAUUAUUCUUUUUAUAUAUUUUAAAGAAAAUAUUUAUGCGGUUGGUUCUUUUUCUUUCCAAACAACCCUAGCUUUUUUCUCAGAGCAAGUUUUUUUUUCUUUUGAUUCCAUUCCUUCUCCAUUUAAGGGAACACUCAUCUACUAACCCUAAAAAAGGUACAACCCUUUGUUCAUGUUCUAGAGACACCAUUAAAGAAACACUCAUCUACUUACCCUAAAGUAGGGAAAGAGUUAAUUUCAUCUUGUGUUAUUAUGUUUCCAGCUCCCUACUCAGUCUUGUCCCCAAAAUGAUAAGCUUAUUGAGUUGGCGAUCUGACCACUUUCACCCGUACAAAUCAAAGAACAGUCUCUCACGAACAGAAGUUCAUAAUACACAUAGGAUUCAAACUAAGUUACUUAGGUCAUCCUAAUGAAAUAGAAACCUAACUAGUUAACGGAGUUACAUCUAGUGGUUACUAUUUGACGAUUUGGUCUUCUGCAAACUCAUUGCAUAGGAUACUCUCACUCGCAUGUCAACUACACGAAUGCGUUGGAUCAUUGCGUUUGUACCAAAUACAAAGUGGGUCAUAUCCAUAGUGUUACUGGGAUAAGGUACCCAGCCUUAUCUCUAUACUAUAAACCCUUUAAGUUGAUCUCGAACAUUGAUUCAUGUAUAUCUCUACAUACUAUUCAAGAUUCAUUGAACAGCUUAGGAUGUUAGUUUAUUGAAUUUGGAUUAUUAAAACAAAACUAAUAAUAUAAUCAAUAGCAAUUAUUGCAAUAAUAACACAAACAAUGGUUAAUGGAUUAUAUUUACAAUCUACGAGUUUUAGGACAUAAAUUCGAACACAAAAAACUUUUAGUAAACACCUAUAUUAACAAUUCACUUCUCAAAACAUUGUUUACUAAAUUAUUGUUAAAGUUUUUCUCUUUAAACGUUUAGAAAGUAGUUAAAGACCAUAAAGAAAUUUGACUUGGUGAAUUUCAUCUUUACGUACACUUGAAGUAUUAGAAGACCAUAUACAAUUACAAAAGCUUCAAGACUCUAUAGUGGCUAAUUUAUUCCUAGAAGAACACAAGAAUCAAAACAUUCUAAAUUUCACAUUUGAUUCAAAAUAUUUUUCAUAAGUCUAAAAUUGCAACUAUAUACUUAUGAUUGUCUCCUUAUAAUACCACUUUUGGGGAUAACAUAAGGUAUAAGUUUUCCUGCCUAAUAAGAUAUCAUAUAUAUAUGAUGAAUAUAUUCAAUAGCUUAGACAAUAUAUUAAACUUUCAUAAAAUCCUAAUGAGCUUCAUAAAUGACGAAUUUGUAUAUUUUCAUACUACUAGCAAACUUUAGUAAUAUCCAAAUAAUGUUGUACGACGAAAAUUAUUAACAAUUCAUGACGCAAGUCGUGUAUAAACUUUGUCACAUAUAACAUACAUGAAACAUUAUUUCUACUCAUGCUAACAUGCUAAUAGACAUGCUCAAGUAGAUCACAAUAGCAUCUCAAUAUUCGCAAACUGGUUUAUCAUUUAAAUCUAUAAAUCUAUAUACAAUACUAUUACGAGCAUAAUGAAUAAACAUAGUCAAAGGUUUCAAUCAUAUCAUACAUUUCUUGAACACAAGCUUGUAAAUAUUUAGACACCCCGCGCUUCUAAAUAUUUAGAAUUGCGUUAGACUACCAUAUCAAACUAAACAGAUGUCUUGCAUUAACCUGAUAAGUUAAUUUAUAUUUGUGGAACAAAUUACUAACCAAAAUAUCAUCAAUAACACAAACCAACAAUCCAAUUAAAAUCAUCAACAAAUAAAUGCAUGGCCUCUAAGCUACAUCUUAGACCCUUCAACAAGUUUUUAAAAUUGAAUUUUUCAUAAAAUUUCACUGGCAUCUUCAUCCAAAUUGACAAAAGAUGAAAUUUUUACAUGCUCAACUGCUUUUCCAAAUUUCUCAAACCACAUAUGACAAUUUAAUUUCUUUAAAUUACUUCCUAAUUUUCAAUGGAUUUUUUCUUAAUUUUAGAUAAACUCGUACCAAUCUAAAAUAUAAAUAAUCAAAAUAUAAUCUUUAUCAAUAUUUUUAACAAUCUUCACAAUGACAUAUGAAACUUGAUGAAGACAAAGAAUUAAAGGAGUUACCUACCAGUUUCUUCAUUUUUGGGUCAAUUCAAGAUGAUUGAUGGGUGGUGUUUACAUUACCUCUACAUAUUCUAGACCAAUGCAUGAGAUAAGAAGAAAUAUCUACUAUUUUUUUUCUUUUAUGAUUUUCUAUUUUGUAACCCACUUGAAUCCAUCUUCCACCACCUCCAUGAUGCUAAAGGAAGACAGCCUCAAAGCUCUGGCUCUUCACAAGAUGAAUCUUAAAGAAAUUCAAGCCAAGAAGAAUUGGGAAUGGCAAAAGUAGGAACAAGUAUUGGAAAAUCCUCAAGGUUUUUUCAUUCAGACCAUUGUUAGUAUUGUUCUUAGAAAUCCUAUCAGAGUUCUUACCUCUUCGCUCCUUUAAUAGCUUGCAUGAUGUAAUGUUAAAUAUAAUCUAAAUCUUUCCUUUUCUACUCUUUAACUCUUAUGUAUGAAUUGCUUUUAAAAUUUCUUUGCAAUGUAUCAAAGAGUUAAUCAAUAAUAAUGGCUCUAAAAUUUGGUGAAUACCAUUUUGCCACUGUCCUACUCAAAUCCACCACCUCUCGUCAAGAUCCUCAAUUUUCUUUCUGUUCGUUUGUCUCUGAUUUUUUUGUGUGAGCGUCGUCCAUAUCCGCUGCCAACCAGAAUGCGAGUACUUUAGACACUAUUGACCAGACCUUUUCCUCCCCAUUCUUUAAACACCGUCGUCCAUCCCUUCUUGAAAACUGAUCAGAUCUAUCGCCCUGAUCAAUCCACUUGUUCUUCAUUUCCAUUUUUCGUUUUUCAUUUUUCUUCUCUUUUCAGAUUGGAUCGACAUGGGGUGGCCUUCAUCCUAACGCCGACACAUUUUGAAGGAUCAUUCUGAUCUCGCUCCAUCUUUUAACUUUUUAAAAUUAUAUAAAAAGAAUAAUAAUUUUAAAACUAUCAAAUGUAUUGAAUAUAUCAUUAUAGCCAUCAAAAUUAUUAUUAUUAUUAUUAUUAUUAAUUUCCAAUUGAAAUGUUAAUUAUAAAUAAGUACAAUGAUAGUAAUUUUCAACACCUUUCUACUUGAAAGUGAUAAUGAAAAAGAUGCUCAAUAUGUAUACCACAAUCAAAUUUAGUUUCUUUCUUUUAAAUAAGGAAAGGAGCAUGUGGUGGAGGAGGUGGAUAGUCUGAAAAUCUUUGACUUGGCCCAGAUGGAGGAAUACGCAUACCUUUCGGUAAUAUUCCAAAGUUAAGUCUAGAUUCCUUGUGUAAAACUUUGAAUGGGGAAGGUGGAGAGUCUGAAAAUCUUUGACUUGGCCCAGAUGGAGGAAUACGUCGACCUUUUGGUAAUAUUCCAAAGUUAAUUCGAGAUUCCUUAUGUAAGACAAUGGAUGGGAGAGGAGGAGAGUCUGAAGAUCUUUGACUUCGUCUAGAUGGAGGAAUACGGACAUCUUUUGAGAAUAUUCCAAAACUGAAAUGUGUAUCUGAAUCAGGCAUUCCUUCGGGUUUCGAAAGUGAAAAAUGGAUAUUUUGUUUUGGAUGAAUUAUAAUGGGCGCCUUAAAUUUACUUUGAAAAAGAGAGUUGUCUUCAUUGACAUCAAACAAACUUCUACCAUGUGUUUGAUAGAUUCCAAAGUGCACCCCAAGGAGUACGAGAGCACAAGUUCUCAAUGCCAUAUUAGAACUAAUUGUCACCAUUUUUGUUGUGUGUUUUCUCUUCGUCUAUUUCUCCUUUUUAUAUAGUGAUUGUUUCUUAAUAAAAAUUAAGGAUAAAUUUGGCAUAGCACCUAAAAAUAAAAUUUUAGUUUUAUAUAAACAACAAAAACACAAUGGGUUUGUUAGAGUAAUCUUCUUUGUAAGAAUAUUUAGAAUAAAACUAACAAUCUAAAAUUGACCCUUUGUUUACACGUUACCUUAAUUCAAUAGAGUCUUCUCAAUUUGGAUGAAUAGAAAUCCACUAAUAUAAUGACCCUUUGAUUACUCUACAUACCUGGAGUAAAUCAUCGUUGCUCCCGUCCUUUGGUAUUACCAGAUUAAGUUUUAAAGUUUUGAUUACGCUGCUGAGGCAUGACUCUUAUAACAUAUCAACCAUUAGACAUGUUAUAGAAGCUACUAACUACUUUAACUUUAAACUUUAGCUCUAACUUCAUCUUAGACUUCCCUUAACUGAUCUAUUCCUUUCCCUUACUUUCUCUACCUCACAAAGAACUAUUUGUUCUUACUAACAUGACUUACACUUCACUCCCCAAAGACUAAACUCUUGCUCUAAUACCAAGUUGUCAUGUCACGUCUCGGACCAAGCAGGCAGGUGCUCUAGACAGGGUGUGACACUGUAGAUGAAAGCUUAAGGGUUGAGUAGAGUCCAUCUCUUACUUCCCAUGACUUGUACUAUUCAUUUCUUUUAUCUUUCAUUUUUGUAUUUCUUUGUAAUGUAUUUGUUCAUAUUGUACAGUAACCAAAGGCCUACAUUCUUUAAUACAUUACAUGUUUAUACCUUUUGAAUCCAUCAAAUCUUUACUAUUCAUCUGUCAAUUUGUUAUUUGUAGUUUAGGUUUGUGAUAAGUUCUUGAUAAGAAGCUUAGCUUAUAACUCUUAUCGCAUUAGCUAAUCUAUAUUAAUCACUUGACCCGUGUUUAUCGACAACUAUCCGAGAGGACAAGUAGCAAAGAUAUGGUUAACGCGUGCAAAGAGGAGUUUGGAAACAAACUCCAUCUUGACAAGAUAACUUCCAUCAUUUGUAUCCUAAAAGGAGAAGAAGUGUGGGUGUUUAGCGUCGAGAGGUUGUCACCCUUAAAAGAGAAGCUUCAUAAGUUUUGUAAGUGAAAUGUUCUAGAUAUGCCUUGCUUAACCAAGUGUGGUGUUUAAUGACACCAAGAGAUUCUUGCCUUAAUCAUAAGCUAGUUAACUAACUUAUGUCGCAUCAAGGCUUUCAUAUUGCUAAUGGCCUAGUAGUGUAGAGACCUUCCUUCUCCCUUUUCUUAUACACAAGUUAGUUCCCACCUCUAUUUCGCCUCCAUCCUAAUUUCCUUUAUAGAUUCUCUUCCGUUGAUAAGUAUAUAUAGUAUAUAAACUUACACUUCUUUACACUAUUUAGUUAAUUCCUUAAUUUUAUACUACCCGAAGGAAGAGUAAUCCCUAGAACUAAUGCUUUGAUAUCAAUUUCCUCUGUCUGACCUUGGAUUAUCCAGGAAACCUAUUGUUUUGCUUACACUUGAGCAAGGACUAGGAAAACUUGUACUCAACAAGGACUUAGUAAUUACAUGAUGAAGAGGUAAAUAGUGAGCAUAUAGUAUGCAGUGACCAUGACCAAUGACUCACCAUGUAGAGUUAGCGCGACACCAACAUAUACAAUAACACUAUUCCCCAAGUCCGAACAAAUGCUUCCAAGUCAACAAGCUGAUACACAUAACAUAAGAUAAAACAAUUGUUUCAAACAAGAAGGUGAUUCGUAAAAACUAUAUCACUUGGUACUUUUUUUCUCCUUUAUUUAAUCAUAUUGUUAAAAUAGAAAACAUCUAAUAAAAGGGAUAUGCUAGGCAUCAAGGUUAAAGAGAGCAAAUGAAAUUUAUUUCAUAAAGUAUUGAUGAAAUUUAUUUAAUCUUACAUAUAGAAAGCACUACAUGACAAGAAGCACUUCACGAUGAAGAACAUCAUGGUUUCUGCAGGCAAUUAAUAUUCUUAGUUAUCUAGCAAUUAGUACUUCACAAGGGCAUGACUUGUGAAUAUAGUAGGUUAUCUUUGUACAUCUAAUUUUGAUCAACAUUUGUAAAAUUUUGCUUUCAAAUUGUAGGAAAAACAAAAUGUUGUGACGUGACAAACGAACUACUUCCUUGAAAGAAAAAAUCGAUGCUACCUUAUGCUAAAUCAAAUAUGUCAGUUGCUCCCCAAGUUUAACACAACUUUUCAACUCAAGCAUGCACUAGUGGGAGAAGAAAUGAAAUCUAAAGAAAAAAACUUCCUCUAAGGAAAAAGAUAGGGUGUUUGGAAAGAAAAAGAACCAACCCCAUAAAUCUUUUCUUUAAAAUAUAUAAAAAGAAUAAUAAUUUUAGAACUAUAAAAUGUAUUGAAUAUAUCAUUAUAACCAUCAAAAUAAUAAUAAUUAUUAUUACAUUAAAUUCCAAUUGAAACAUUAAUUAUAAAUCAGUACAAUGAUAGUCAUUUUCAACACCUUUCUACUUGAAAGUGAUAAUGAAAAAUAUGCUCAAUAUGUAUACCACAAUCAAAUUUAGUUUCUUUCUCUUAAAUAAGGAAAGGAGCAUGGGGUGAAGGAGGUGGAUAGUCUGAAAAUCUUUGACUUGGCCCAGAUGGAGGAAUACGCAUACCUUUCGGUAAUAUUCCAAAGUUAAGUCUAGAUUCCUUGUGUAAAACAUUGAAUGGGGAAGGUGGAGAGUCUGAAAAUCUUUGACUUGGCCCAGAUGGAGGAAUACGUCGACCUUUUGGUAAUAUUCCAAAGUUAAUUCGAGAUUCCUUAUGUAAGACAAUGGAUGGGAGAGACGGAGAGUCUAAAGAUCUUUGACUUGGUCCAGAUGGAGAAAUACGGACAUCUUUUGAGAAUAUUCCAAAACUGAAAUGUGUAUCUGAAUCAGGCAUUCCUUCGGGUUGCGAAAGUGAAAAAUGGAUAUUUUGUUUUGGAUGAAUUAUAAUGGGCGCCUUAAAUUUACUUUCAAAAAGAGAGUUGUCUUCAUUGACAUUAAACAAACUUCUACCAUGUGUUUGAUAGAUUCCAAAGUGCACCCCAAGGAGUACGAGAGCACAAGUUCUCAAUGCCAUAUUAGAACUAAUUGUCAC